GGGGGGGGGGGUAUGCCGACCAAAACAUAGCAGGUCAGCUUUCACAUAUCUUUGCGGGCAAGGCAUCCCCGCCAUUUUACUCAGGUUCUCCUCCUAUCCGUUCUAGUAACCCUGUAACCCAAGAUGCCCGUUUCCGUGAACAGAGGGGUCAAGCAAACCCUAUUCGUGAUUUUUGUAUAGAAAGUUCAGAAGUUGAUCGGAUUCGAAGCAUCACAACGAUGGCCUGAGACAAUUUUCCCACGCAUACCACCACACCUACGUGUUAUCUGUAUCAAGUGAGCUUAUUCGGUUUUUGUAACUGCGAAACUGUAGGAUUCGAUUAUCAUGUAUAAAGUUUCAUUUCUUCAAGUUAGUUUACCUUCCUUCAAAACUUUGGUUUUGUUAAGAAGUUAUGUAAAUCCUGUAGCUUUUCAGGCCUUCAUUAUACAAUGAAUCGGAAACAAAGAGUUUCUGAUCUGAGAAUGGUUGAUGAAUAAAUUUUAUCUUUUUGGUACUA
This is a long non-coding RNA of Papaver somniferum (opium poppy), 496 nucleotides long. RefSeq lists it as uncharacterized. The transcript is spliced from 2 exons. NCBI's taxonomy places the organism in Eukaryota, Viridiplantae, Streptophyta, Magnoliopsida, Ranunculales, Papaveraceae. The record is from RefSeq and is a predicted model, not a curated record.